Molecule: ribosomal RNA, 984 nt
Filed under: human gut metagenome
Description: bacterial LSU rRNA
Rfam family: Bacterial large subunit ribosomal RNA
Source: RNAcentral
CGGUCCUAAGGUAGCGAAAUUCCUUGUCGGGUAAGUUCCGACCUGCACGAAUGGCGUAACGAUCUCCACACUGUCUCGGCCAGAGACUCGGUGAAAUUGCAGUCGCGGUGAAAAUUCCGUGUACCCGCAGAAAGACGGAAAGACCCUGUGCACCUUUACUAUAGCUUGACAUUGGAUUUUGGGCCUGCAUGUGUAGGAUAGGUGGGAGGCUGUGAACCCUGUACGCCAGUAUGGGGGGAGCCAUCCUUGAAAUACCACCCUUGCAUGUUUAAGAUCCUAACUUCUUCCGGUUAUCCCGGAGAAAGACAGUGUCUGGCGGGUAGUUUGACUGGGGCGGUCGCCUCCUAAAGUGUAACGGAGGCAUGCAAAGGUUCCCUCAGCCUGAUCGGAAACCAGGCGCUGAGUGCAAACGCAUAAGGGAGCUUGACUGUAAGAGAGACAUCUCGAACAGGAACGAAAGUUGGCGUUAGUGAUCCGGUGGUCCCGUAUGGAAGGGCCAUCGCUCAUUGGAUAAAAGGUACGCCGGGGAUAACAGGCUGAUCGCAUCCAAGAGUUCACAUCGACGAUGCGGUUUGGCACCUCGAUGUCGGCUCAUCACAUCCUGGGGCUGAAGCAGGUCCCAAGGGUACGGCUGUUCGCCGUUUAAAGUGGUACGCGAGCUGGGUUUAAAACGUCGUGAGACAGUUUGGUCCCUAUCUGCCGUGGGCGUUGGAAGAUUGACGGGGGCUGCUCCUAGUACGAGAGGACCGGAGUGGACGCACCUCUGGUGUACCGGUUGUCACGCCAGUGGCAUUGCCGGGUAGCUAAGUGCGGAAGAGAUAACCGCUGAAAGCAUCUAAGCGGGAAACUUGCCUGAAGAUGAGUCUUCCCGGAGGUUGAACCUCCCUCAAGAGUCGUCCGAGACCAGGACGUCGAUAGGUCAGGUGUGUAAGCGCUGUAAGGCGUUGAGCUAACUGAUACUAAUUGCUCGUGAGGCUUGAUCCU